GUCUUUUUUCCCAAUACUUGUUGGUAAAGGCAACAGAGAAGCCUUCAAGCUCUGAGGGAAAGGGC
This is a regulatory RNA element of Gorilla gorilla gorilla (western lowland gorilla), 65 nucleotides long. It matches the Rfam family "MAT2A 3'UTR stem loop A". The record is from Rfam. Lineage: Eukaryota; Metazoa; Chordata; Mammalia; Primates; Hominidae.